Molecule: long non-coding RNA, 7174 nt
Filed under: Triticum aestivum (bread wheat)
Lineage: Eukaryota; Viridiplantae; Streptophyta; Magnoliopsida; Poales; Poaceae
Description: long non-coding RNA (TAES_LNC027102)
Source: RNAcentral
ACACUUUAUAGAUACUGCAACUCAUGAUGUAUUGGAAAGAAGACAACCAACACCAAUGUAUUGAGCGAGUUCAUGGAACCAGCCUAUUUAACACUUCUAUGUUGUUCGUGGAACCAACAUAUUUGGGAUCAAGUAUUGACACUUUAGGCCUGUCACACCUAUAAAUCUUCUUGUCUGAAUUAUAAAGUACAUAAACAUCAACGAAAAAAUAGCAAUAACACUAAUGAAUUCGUCACUUCAACUAGGCUCCACAUAUUCAGAUAGGUGUCUUUUUCAUUACCAUCGAACCUGCAUUCAUAAGCAAUAGUGGUAAGUUUCAUGUCCAGAUUGACAUAAGUUCAGCAAUGAUACUAAGAAUGUAAAUAACAGAAUCACAUUAGAACCUGACUACCAUGCAUCUUGGUUUGUAACUUGAAAGCACAAUUAACAACAUGGCAGUAUCUCUUUCGUACUAGUGUCCAUUCCUAUGCACAGCAUGCUGCACACUAGUUAAACAUGAUACUGAUUCCUAUUCUUCGUAGUUAGCCACGGACAGUUAAUCGCGUCCGCAAGUUCCUAGGUCAGCAAUCAGAAGGCCUUACAGCACCGCACACACUUAUUGAUCCGGUCAUGUAGCUCCUUAGGUGUAGGCUAGCUAAGUUAGAUUCAGUUGCGUAAGGGUCAAAACUACAGUAAAACAGUACCAGCCAAACAUAUCAGUAGUUUCAUGAAAUUGUUGGAUUACAAUAGUGGAUAUUACAAAAGGAACAUCAUCCAAAUGUGAAGGCAUAAUCUAACUAUUUUCUUGACAGUGAAAUUUAACUAAAAGAAUCCAUCAACAUUCCUACAACUUAACUAAAACUUGAUCGAGGAACAACAUCCAAUAGGAAGGUCAUCCACACAACAUAACUAAAACUGGAAGCAUCAAUUAUUGUCACCAUCAUGAGGCAGAACAUCAACAUCAUCGUUGCAUUACACUUGCCACACACCCAUAUACUCAUCCAUUUAUCUUUUGAAUCUACAAAAAAGAAAACAAAAUGAACUGUUAACAAACAAUGCAUUGACAUGAUGCAAGUAAUAACAGAGGCAAGAUAUUAGUCAUGUACAAAGGUUGAGGGCCAUGCAAUCUUUGUUUCUUCUACAUUACCGAGAGUAUUACAGUUUUUGCGACUCCCCACCAAAUAUUCAGUUUUCACAAGUGCCAUAUCAACAUGCACCGCCCAGAAUUCAUUCCUAAUUUCCGCACCAUCAAGGUUAAAUUCAGGAUCACAACUUACAAUUGUAGCAAGAGCUACAUCCCUGUUAUGGUUUUUCAGGCUCUUCAAGAAUACUUUAGUUCCUGGCUGUUAGAGAAAAUCAAAGUAACCAUAUGAAAAAAAAACAGAAACAAAACAGAGGAACAUAUGAAAUGAAUGAGCACUCUUACAGAUAAUUCACUAGCACCACUUUGAGCACUCUUAGUGCUUGCAUUAGCACCUUUUUGUUGUUUUUUUGGUCUGGACAACAGUCUGAUAGCAAAGAAGAAGUAAUAAACAAAUAAACAAGCCAACAUUAUAGUUUGAACAAAAAUGUGUAUGUGAUUAUGAAAAAAUACCAGUUUGUUUGCAGUAGAAGUUUUUUCUCCCUGACGUGCACUGACAGUCUCAAGCAAAGUUUCUUUGUUCUGAACAGCAUUCUGAUAGCAAGACGGCUAGUAGAUACAUAACCAUCGGAGCAUUGUAUUUUGAACAUAUUGCAUAUGGUAAUGGAAAUAUGCCAUGUGUGCAGCAGAAUUUAUUUCCCCUUGCUGAGCACUGAAAUUAUGAUCAUAAGUUUCUUGGUUCUGGACAACAUUCUGAUAGCAACAGGUAAACACAUACAAACGGGAGCACUAUAGUUUGAUCAUUAUUUUGUAUAUAAGACUAUGAUGAUACCUUGUGUGCAGCAGAACAUUUUCCUAGUUGCCGUGCACUGCCACCACUAUGAACCAUAGUUUCUUUGUUCUAGGAUAAAAUGAUACACAUCAAGUUUUGGGUAUUGUGUAUGCAACUGCAAAAAGUGCAAGCACAACAACUUAAAGCUCACUAAUGACAAGUUCUAAAGAGUAUUUAAGUAGGCAAACUGUAUCUGAAACAGAAUUCUUGUUUGAUGCUUGCAAAUCUACAUCGUUUGAUCCACUUGGCUUGUUCUGUAAAUUAUUUGAUCGUUUUUAACAAGUUGGAGUCCAUCAACCGGAGGAGCAAGCACUCUCUACAGAUAGCAUGACAUAAAUAUUAAUUGAGAAAUAAUUUCUAGAGAUAAAUUUGAGGAAUUUUAUUGUGUACUUUGACAAGAUACAAACUUCUCUGUUUGAGUCGUGUCCAUCAACCGAAGGAUCAAGCCCAAUUGUAGCCAUUGGAUCUGAAAUUUCCUAUGAUAUGAAUAUAGAAAGGUUAGUCCAAAAAAUAAAUGAAGCUUACAGUUGUUAGAAAUUUACCUGAUUUCGUUGUCUUUCCAUUCUUCUCAUCUUCUCAUCUAGUUCCAUAAUUUCAUCUACAAAACAAUUACAACAUAAAUAUGGCGAGUGCAAUGUAAGGAAACAUAGAACAAGCCAGUAAAGGAUAUUCAAUGGAUUAAAUUUUACCUUCACUUGAUCUAGUAUAGCCUUUACAUUUGUUUUAGUUUCGAGCAAUCUCCAAUCCUUGUAGCUCAAGCAACACAAUGAUCCAUUCCUUGCAACUGAGCCAAGAAAGUCCCCAAGAUGUUUAUCCUAUUUUCCAAUUGGCUGAUCUAUGUCAUUGCAGCGAACCAUUAUCCUUUUCCCUUUUGGAAGGUUCCAAAUAUAUUUCAGCUUCCUCUUCUUACGCCCUUUUGUUUCUGCAUUUUCAGCUAAAUAUAUAAAACCAUGAACUAUACGUUACGAUGAAGAAUAAUCAAAUAUUGCAAACGAUAAGUAAUGAGCAACAAACUUACCACCUUCAUUUUCAUCAGCAUCAUCACAACCUGUGAAGCCUUCUUCAUCAUUAAUAGCUCUUUCAUGGACAUCAGAUGAUUCGACACCUUUUUCAGCAGAAUUAUGAUGUUCAAUCGGUUCUUCCAUCAUAUAUUCUUCAUGCGAUUCAACAACAUUAAUUCUUGUCAGUGACAUAUCUGCCGCAACAUUAAAAUGACCAAAAGUUUAAAUAAUUUUAGCAAAAGACAAUAUUUUGUGGUCCUACGCGACCUCAUGACAGUCAUCCCAACAGAUGUGAAGAUGAUUAGUUCAGAUUUCAGCUCAAACAAUCAUAUUUUCAAGUAAUUACUACCCCUACAAUCAACAAAAUAAUUCUGACCACAAUGUACUUGAUGUGGUAUGGUGCUUAACUUGGUGUUUGCUGGGGGGAGGGGGGGCACACAUGUUCAGGUAUAACACUAUCCAUAGACAGUAAGAGGAUGACAAGGUCAAGGACACCCAUGUUCAUUUUAUUUUCUGUUAAGGAGGUUUGGUUCAUGCACAACCAAUAUAGCGCUGAUGCUAUGUUAGUCUCAAGUCACUAACAUUUAUUUUCAGAACAAGUGCGUCGUUCUGCAGACUGGACUGUUAGUUGUGCUGCUGCAAACCAUAUUGUGAUAUUCAUAAAAAAAUUAACAUUCAAAUUAUUGGGCGCUACAGAUCAUGUUCUGAUACUCAUAAGAACUAACCAAACUAUAUAUACUACCCAACAAGAACAUGAUAGUCAGAAUUUGAGUUCCAUAAAGAAAGUCUAUGAAGAGAUUGAACUCACCAAGGUAGUAAUGGUGCAGAACUAGAUUGAAAUACUGCACGCGUCCGCACCUGACACCCCAAAAGUUACCAGGAGCAAUCCACUCUAUCUGAAGGCUCCCCAAAAUUCUAAACCAAUAACAGAGGACAACUAUCUAACACUUGGUGUGCACUACCAAAUUCAAUCAAAAGGAGAGUAAUUAGAAAGCAUAGAAGGGACAGAUCUGAACCGAGAAGGGGGAGAGAAGGCAAAAUCUUCAAGUCAUACUAGUAUUUACCUACUGUUUCUAUGAAUCGGGUGUGGGAUUGAUCUGCUUGCCGUCCUAGUUCCUGAACAAGACACGCCUCUUGUGCCAUUAACCUCAAUGGUGGAAUCGGCGGGGCGAGAUAUGAGACUCAGGAAGGAGGGUAGGCCACGAUUGAUCUACUCAAGAAGGGAUCCUUCGUACAAGAGGAGGAAGGGAAUUGCGUUGAUAUGGGCGAGGGGAGGUGGAAGGGAAGUGUGUUGAUAUGGGGGAGGGGAGGAGGAGGUUUCCGAUUUUGGUGGCGUAGUUACCUCCUCACGAGAGAUGAUGUUAAUGAAGCGCGCAUACUUAUUUUCUUCUGACUAGAAUUAGUGGCUCUUGGCGGGAGAGAAUAGAGGGAAAGGGAAAAAUUAGUGCAAAAAAAAACAAGCGACUACAAAUUUGAAGCGAAACAAAUUAUAAUAUUUUUUAUUAUCAUCUGGCCCUUGACAGACACUUGUAUAUAUAUUUGUGGCAAACACAACGUGCUUCUUCUAUGUUUGUACAAAUUCAAUGCAAAAUGGAUGAACUGAUAAUUCUUUCUAUUACUCAAAACGGGCUGAUUGGCCGACUUGCCGCAUCUGGUGUAGACGCUCAGCUUCCUCCCCCGUUGCCCACAGGCCAGCAUCGGCCACGAAUGUCGCCCCGUUCUGCCGCCCCUCCCCCUGAGGCGGCGCAUAGGCCUCCGCCAGCACGGCGUUUACGAGGACCUAGUCCAGCGAGAUGCCCGACACCCUGAACACGACACGGUGCUGCGCGUUGCGCCGGUCAACUGGCCCUUCCGCCAGCAGGACACUGCGGCGACGUUCUCGGCAACCUCGUCGAGGAGGGGCGGCUGAUGAUGCUCUCCAUCAUCUGAGGAGAGCAAGACCUUCCUCCUUCAACGGCGCAGAGGAGGGCGAUCGGCCAAAAGAUCACGCGCUUCAGACACCCCCCUCCUCACAGUCGUAACAAGCGAUGCAUCGCGGAAGUCCUGGCUAGAGUGGAAACUGACGAGAUUGCUCAAGCAAGGCGGUGGCCCUUUGUGCUGUUGUCGAGGUAGCCGUGAGCGUAGGGUGGUGUAGUUGUGGUCGAGGUAGUCGUGCGAAGAACGCCGUGGUCGAUGUCGAGUCGGGGUGGCCGAGGUCGAGGAAAUCACUGUGGAGUCGUGGGCGCAAGGAGGCGCCGGAUUAGUCAUGGGCGCAAUGGUGUCAAAGUAGUGGUGCAAAAAACGUUGUGGUCGAUGCCGAGUCAGGGUGGCCGGCGUCGAAGUAGUGGUGUCGAAGUAGCGGUUCAAGGUAGCCGAUGGGAGAACCUCGGGGCGGCAGUUAGUUGGCGAGCGGAGGAGGCGCGAUGACCUGGUUAACCGCGGGCUCGCCGAACGGGACGUGUGCGUACAUGUCGUGGGCGCGGCCAGAGCGGACUGGACCGAGUGGGGCGGGACGUGGGUUCGUGCCCUGGCGGUGCCCUGGUAUAAAGCCCUCUCUGUGUGCGGUGUAACCGUGUGUGGUGUCGAGUUUGUGAUCGGGAAAAGGCCGUUGUUGCGGCGGCGUUCGUGCGCCGGAAAAGCUCGCUGUGUCUACCGUGUGCUCCUUGUUUCUUCUCCUCCUUCUCGGGUCCGGCGGAGAUAUAGAGGUGAUCACAGAGAAGAGACGAGAGGGCGCGCAUAGGCGAGCUAGGGCUUUGGCUGCGAAAGUGCCUUUCUUCUCCCAAGCUCAAAUGAGCUCGGUGAACAGUAAAAUAAAAAAAAUCAGAACAAAUUCAAAAAAAAAUCCUAUUUUAUUUUUGGGAGAAACAUUGACAAAAGUUCUACGUGCUUGCAUAAAUUCGUCAUGGAAUUACAUUCCUGUAAGGCGUGGUAAAAAAACAAAUUCUAUACUCCAAAAUGCUUUUGAAAGUAUCGUUUUUAGAGUACCGAUUUUGUUUUUUCUGCUACGCCUUCUAGGAAUGUUCUUUCAUGAUGAAUUUUUGCAAGCACUUAAAACUUUUGUCAAUGUUUCUCCCAACAAUUUUUUGAUUUUUUUUUGAUUAUGUUUUGAUUUUUACUGUUCACCCGAGCCAAAAUUGAGAUUAUCCAUUGUUAGGACAAUCUUAAAUUUCACAUUUAUGUAACUAUAUGCUUCUUAUUUCUCUCUUUUUUUUCUCAUUCUUUGUUUUUUGAACCAAAAACAUUAUGCAGCUCACACUUUAUAGAUACUGCAACUCAUGAUGUAUUGGAAAGAAGACAACCAACACCAAUGUAUUGAGCGAGUUCAUGGAACCAGCCUAUUUAACACUUCUAUGUUGUUCGUGGAACCAACAUAUUUGGGAUCAAGUAUUGACACUUUAGGCCUGUCACACCUAUAAAUCUUCUUGUCUGAAUUAUAAAGUACAUAAACAUCAACGAAAAAAUAGCAAUAACACUAAUGAAUUCGUCACUUCAACUAGGCUCCACAUAUUCAGAUAGGUGUCUUUUUCAUUACCAUCGAACCUGCAUUCAUAAGCAAUAGUGGUAAGUUUCAUGUCCAGAUUGACAUAAGUUCAGCAAUGAUACUAAGAAUGUAAAUAACAGAAUCACAUUAGAACCUGACUACCAUGCAUCUUGGUUUGUAACUUGAAAGCACAAUUAACAACAUGGCAGUAUCUCUUUCGUACUAGUGUCCAUUCCUAUGCACAGCAUGCUGCACACUAGUUAAACAUGAUACUGAUUCCUAUUCUUCGUAGUUAGCCACGGACAGUUAAUCGCGUCCGCAAGUUCCUAGGUCAGCAAUCAGAAGGCCUUACAGCACCGCACACACUUAUUGAUCCGGUCAUGUAGCUCCUUAGGUGUAGGCUAGCUAAGUUAGAUUCAGUUGCGUAAGGGUCAAAACUACAGUAAAACAGUACCAGCCAAACAUAUCAGUAGUUUCAUGAAAACUGAGAAAAUUGAUGUUUUCAGAAACUGUAAUUCUUUUAUGAAGAAACCAGGAAAAUUUUAGCAUUCAAAAUUGGAUCGAACACAACAAUUUAAAGAAAAAAGGGACUCAUUCGAACUACUUCCAACUGAUUACUCUCAGUCAAUGAAUCUAGUAGAUCUGCACUAACUUUCAUCACCAUCAAAGAGAAGUGCUGUGCCUAGCAACACAUCGAGUGGGCACUGUAAUAUGAGCCGCACCAGAGGCUGAAGCAAGGCCAAAUUCAUCUGACUAAACAAAAAACCUGAAGAUACACUAGCUUGGGGAAAGCAGAACUAUCCUAGGACGGCCAAUCUGAG